GAAAAGUCAGAUUGCUACCAUCAAAGUGUAAAGAUAAACGCUUUUGCUUUUCCAAAAGUCACUAUAUCAAGCUCUGCGCUCAUAAUGUGGCUCUCUCUCUCUCUCUCUCUCUGUCUCUCACAGUCUAAUGAAUUGCACAUAGAAGGAGAGUUUCAAGUUGUUGCAAAUUAUGGCUCUAUGCACAAAUUUCUUGCUCUUCAGACAAAACUAAAAGGUAUGUAUAUGUUGCAACAUUGCUUAAAAAGAAGGAAAAAUCUUUGAUGAAAAUGAUUGAUAUCUUUAGAAUUGUAUUAUUUUCACCAUUGAGUUCACAUCUUUCUUCUUCGGGCAUUUCUUGUAUUGAGUUUUGUUUUUGUAUGAACCCAUCAUUUUCUCAUGCCCAAUAUGUUUGGUAAAAUCAUACAAGUUAUGGGCUUCUUUUUCUUUGAUUCAUUUCUGUCUAUGUGUUGGUUUUUUGCCAUAUUUGUUCUAUAAAUAACCCAACCCACCUUAUUUCUCUCUUUUCAUGUGCAAAAUUUUACCAGAAAUAAUGCAAUGUUUUGUCUGAAUUCCUUUCUGUCUUUGCUGUUUUUCUCUGUUUGGAUAAGGGUUUUAUUAAACCAAGCCAAACAUACCAUGUAAACAUUUAUUUAAAGAAACAUACAUUGGAAAAGAAAUUUCCUUCAUAGUUAUUUUGGACUUGAUGGGAACUAAUUUGGUCAAGAAUAUCAGUUUGAAAAAUGCAGAUUUUGAAUUAAAUUCACAUUUUGUGUAAUGCAUUUGGUGUUUAAAUUUUAUGAGAUAACUAAAAAUUUCUGUGAACCUCAUUUAUAUCUGGAACCCUACUUUUCAAAGUAGAAAAAAUCUUUACAUUUCAAUCAAUAUUAACGAAUUAUUCUGAAGGUACAUAUUUUUUAAUCAGACUUUAUACAUGAAGACAGCUAUCUCCCUGUAAUUUGCCUCUGUCAAAAACCAUUUUUGACAGCAAUCAAUCCUUGUGAAACAGCUAUUUUCCUGUAUAAAAUUUGUUAAAAAAUAUGUACUUGUAACACUUCUUAUAUUAACAUGUUCCAAUCUCAUUAAUUAAAAUAUGAUCUUCUUUCUUCUGAAAAAGUAAGUCUACACUGGAAAUUUAUGAUUAAUUAAAAGGGGCUUAUUAUAUUUGACUGAAAGGUAAAAGCAAUUCUUUGGGAAAAGCAACCUCGUUAGUAGCCUAAUUAACUGCAAAAAAAAAAAAAAAACGCCUCCCUAUAAUCAAUCCACAAACGAAUGAAUGUUAGGCCACAAACAAUCUUCAAUCUUGGGGUAGGGUUUAGUUGCAGUCUCGAAAAAAAGAAGGGCCUCGAAAUUGCUGCCUGUUUGUCAUCUGUCAGGUACCCUACACCCUCCCCCAAAGCUAAAACAGUUUGAACUUUGAAAUGGUGAUUGGUGAUUGGUGAUUGGUGAUUGGUGAACGCGACAAUAGGGGAGGAUAGAAGAGGGAUUUCCUUGAUUUUCAAGGCUAAAAUAGGAAACCAAAACGGGACAGAGUUUGCUUGCGCAAAUCUAGCUAAACUGGCAACAGGACUUUUGGGCCAAGUAGUAUUUAAAGUAGUAGACAAGAGAAUGGGUGCGGGGAGGGGCAAGCGAGGGAUUGUUGGGGCUAGAAUUAGAGCGGUUAAUAGAUUAGAUUUUGAUCCGAAUCCAAUUCGAAUUUGAUAAAAUUAAAGGACGAUAAAUAUUAGGGAUGGCCGUGGGGUGGGUUCAGGGCGGGACGCCCUCCUUAGAUGGGGGGGCGCAGGACGGGGACGGAGCAAUUUUUUGCCUCAUAUAAUUUUUUUUUACAUUUUUAAAAUUUUGAGUUAUAUUAUUAUUAGAGAAUAAAAUAAAAAUUCAAAAUGAGUUUUUAACGGGUGAAUUGUUUAGAAAUAAAGUUUUUUUUAUUUUUUUUAUUAUUUUUUCCUUCACGGGGCGGGGCAAGGAUGCCCCCUCGCACAUGCACCACCACAAACCCGUUCAGGACUGGAAGGGACGGGAUGAAUUUUUCUAUCAUUACUAAUAAUCUUUGUCCGAUAAUUCGAUUGAGAACCAAAUUUAAUAAUCGAUUAACUAAAUGAAGCAAAUAUGGAUAUAGAUCAAUUCGGUCCUAUAACAACUAAAUCUGAUUUGUUAUGAUAAAAUAAUAUAUUUUAUUUAUUACCUCAUAAUUCAUUACAAACAAUUUUUUUAAUAUUAAAACUUGUAUUAUGCUUUAUGACUUUUAAUGAAAAAAUGUCGAAUAUAUCAAAUUAAUUAAUAUAUAUUAUACUCCCUCCAUCCCAUUUAUAUAGACUUGUUUUAUUUUUCACACGAAUUAAGGAAUAUUAUUUAAUAUUAUUGAAAAAGCAAAUUUUGCCAAUAAAUUACCUAGUUUACCUUUAUUUAUAUUUGUUCAAUUUCAAAAUUUAGUAGAAAAAUGGUUAUAAUUAGGCAAAUUAAAUAAGGGUAUAUUAGUAAACGAACAGAACAAAAUAAGUUCGAUAAAAAACAUGACUAUAUAAUUGGGACAAGAAAAUAUGAAAUGUAAGUUUAUAUAAAUGGGACGGAGGGAGAAUCCCCUCUUUCCAAUAAAAAAUAAUAUAUGUAAAACAUUUUCAAUCGAAUAUCCGAUAAACAUAGCAAAUGGAAUAUGUAAUUAAUAAUCAAAUAUCUAUUGAAUUAUCGAAUUAGAUGUGAUUGGAUUUAUAAAUUAUUCUUAUUGGAUCGGAUAUUAACAGAUCCAAUCUACUCCAUAUCCGAUCCAUUUAUGGUCUUCGGUGGAGUGAUUACGGGUGGGGUGGUGUGAGGUGAGGAUGACAUAUACAAUGUGUAGGUAUUUAUUGUUUGUAUGCGUACGAAACGCCAAACACAUAUUUUCAUGCUUAUUUACUUGGCCUUAUUAUGUUGAGAGAGACAGUCACCAAUGUAAUCCAAUAAACAUAUACAAACACAAAGCAAAGGCCUCAUGUCCUCAGUCUUUCUUUUCCCACUGAAGAAAUAGGACAACAAUACCUAUCAAAUCCUUUGGAAAAAAUAAAAAAAUUUCUUGAACAAUACAAAAAUGGUUUCUAAUCCCAAAACAGUGCCUUUGUUUUCUCACAUUUCAUCUCUUCAAGAUGAACCAAGAAACCCCUUUAAAUUAUCUUGAAAAUGGGAGUUGAAAAAACCCUUCUUCUCUUUAUAUUUUGUGUUCACAGGGUAAGAGGGUUUUGCUGGUGGUGGCGUCCAGGGAAGUUUUGGCAUAUAAUGAAGCCUGAUGCUAGAAUUUUCAAGAAAAUGGUGGUGGAGAAAUUGCCUGUUUUUUCUGGUUCUUUCGUGAGUUGGGCUGGUUUCCAAAAUCCAUAUUUGCUAGUGGGGUUUGGUUUCCUUCUCCUCUUCUGUUACGUAGGUGGCUUUUGACGGCGGCGUCGGUGGUGGUGAUAUUGGCGGGACGGCUCAAUCUUUUUUUUAUCUGUAACAUAAAAUUUUCUUCUCCACUAGAUUUGGCAUGUUCAUAAACAAUGGAUUUGCAAAGAGUUCAUAUAAUAACUCAUCAAGGUUGGCUUCUUUAAUUUCUAAUUUCUCAUUUUGUACUUAGCAUUGGACUGAUCUCUUUACUAAUAGCUUGAUGAUUUAGAUUUCUACCCCUUAAAAUAAUUUAUUUUUUGUAUUUUUGAUAACUAAAUAAGAAUUAGUUUCUGUAUUCUGCAUAUUUUGGCCGUGGAAAAUCAUUGACAUUGCACAGUACAUUAAUUAUGUGAGAAUAUCUUAAUAUGUUUG
This 3735-nucleotide long non-coding RNA is filed under the name Olea europaea (common olive). RNAcentral describes it as "long non-coding RNA (OEUR_LNC009068)". The record is from RNAcentral. Lineage: Eukaryota; Viridiplantae; Streptophyta; Magnoliopsida; Lamiales; Oleaceae.